AACGAACGCUGGCGGCAUGCCUAACACAUGCAAGUCGAACGAGACCUUCGGGUCUAGUGGCGCACGGGUGCGUAACGCGUGGGAACCUGCCCUUAGGUUCGGAAUAACUCCCGGAAAGGGGUGCUAAUACCGGAUAAUGUCUUCGGACCAAAGAUUUAUCGCCUUUGGAUGGGCCCGCGUUGGAUUAGCUAGUUGGUAGGGUAAAAGCCUACCAAGGCGACGAUCCAUAGCUGGUCUGAGAGGAUGAUCAGCCACACUGGGACUGAGACACGGCCCAGACUCCUACGGGAGGCAGCAGUGGGGAAUAUUGGACAAGGGGCGAAAGCCUGAUCCAGCAAUGCCGCGUGAGUGAUGAAGGCCUUAGGGUUGUAAAGCUCUUUUACCCGGGAUGAUAAUGACAGUACCGGGAGAAUAAGCUCCGGCUAACUCCGUG
RNAcentral lists this ribosomal RNA (433 nucleotides) under uncultured bacterium. RNAcentral describes it as "partial 16S ribosomal RNA". It matches the Rfam family "Bacterial small subunit ribosomal RNA", at positions 29 to 507 of the family's 1533-position model. The record is from RNAcentral.